RNAcentral lists this ribosomal RNA (459 nucleotides) under uncultured bacterium. Its description in RNAcentral is "partial 16S ribosomal RNA". It matches the Rfam family "Bacterial small subunit ribosomal RNA", at positions 338 to 795 of the family's 1533-position model. The record is from RNAcentral.
CCUACGGGGGGCUGCAGUGAGGAAUAUUGGUCAAUGGCCGGAAGGCUGAACCAGCCAAGCCGCGUGAAGGACGAAGGUGCCAAGCAUUGUAAACUUCUUUUGUCAAGGGACAAAAUCAGGCUCGAUCGCCUGACCGCGGGUACUUUAAGAAUAAGCAUCGGCUAACUCCGUGCCAGCAGCCGCGGUAAUCCGGAGGAUUCGACCGUUAUCCGGAUUUAUUUGGUUUAAAGGGUGGGUAGGGGGACUUUUAAGUCAGCGGUAAAAGUCCGGGGCGCAACCCCUGAGAGCCGUUGAGACUGGCUGUCUUGAGAUGUCGAGAGGUAGGCGGAAGGCGCAGUGUAGCGGUGAAAUGCUUAGAUAUUGCGCAGAACUCCGAUUGCGAAGGCAGCAUACCGGCGGCGAUCUGACGCUGAGGCACGAAAGCGUGGGUAUCGAACAGGAUUAGAUACCCCAGUAGUC